Molecule: small nucleolar RNA, 133 nt
Filed under: Dasypus novemcinctus (nine-banded armadillo)
Lineage: Eukaryota; Metazoa; Chordata; Mammalia; Cingulata; Dasypodidae
Description: Small nucleolar RNA SNORA31 (ENSDNOG00000040462.1)
Rfam family: Small nucleolar RNA SNORA31
About the family: ACA31 (SNORA31) belongs to the H/ACA class of snoRNAs which are thought to guide the sites of modification of uridines to pseudouridines. ACA31 is predicted to guide the pseudouridylation of U3713 in 28S rRNA and U218 in 18S rRNA.
Source: RNAcentral
AUGCAUCUCUGACAGACUUGGAGUAGUUAAUGUCUGCUGCUAAGGUUUCUACUAUAGAUGCAAGAGAAAGAAGGUCCUUGUACUUUCCGUCUUUCUGGUUGUGGCAGCCAAGAUUGAAUGGGGGAAUAUGGGA